UCCCUGGAGGACUAGUGGUUAAGCCACAGCGCUCUCACCACUGUGGCCUGGAUUCAAUUCCCAGCCGCAGCC
RNAcentral lists this transfer RNA (72 nucleotides) under Pangasius djambal. RNAcentral's name for it is "tRNA-Glu". The record is from RNAcentral. Lineage: Eukaryota; Metazoa; Chordata; Actinopteri; Siluriformes; Pangasiidae.